UACGUAGGGCGCAAGCGUUGUCCGGAAUUAUUGGGCGUAAAGAGCUCGUAGGCGGUCUGUUACGUCCGCUGUGAAAACCCAGGGCUUAACCCUGGGCUUGCAGUGGAUACGGGCAGACUAGAGGUAGGUAGGGGAGAAUGGAAUUCCCGGUGUAGCGGUGAAAUGCGCAGAUAUCGGGAGGAACACCGGUGGCGAAGGCGGUUCUCUGGGCCUUACCUGACGCUGAGGAGCGAAAGCGUGGGGAUCAAACAGG
Molecule: ribosomal RNA, 253 nt
Filed under: uncultured bacterium
Lineage: Bacteria
Description: partial 16S ribosomal RNA
Rfam family: Bacterial small subunit ribosomal RNA
Source: RNAcentral